This is an RNA transcript of Bactrocera dorsalis (oriental fruit fly), 2109 nucleotides long. RefSeq lists it as uncharacterized. The transcript has 4 exons. The record is from RefSeq and is a predicted model, not a curated record. Lineage: Eukaryota; Metazoa; Arthropoda; Insecta; Diptera; Tephritidae.
CUUGAUAGUAUGCACUUAGUCGACUUAGGAGUAACAAAGAAAUUACUUAAACUUGCAACAAAAAAACGAAAAGCUUGACUAUGUCUCUAAAUUUAUCCCAUCAGAGUUUGGAAAUCGUCUGAGUUUAGGCAGUUUUUGCUUUAUUCUGGUAUAUUCGUUCUUAAAGAUUGUAUCAGUACCGAUCAAUACUAUCACUUCCUGCUGCUACAUAGUAGUAUUCGACUUUUGUCACAUGAAAAUAUUCAUGGACUACUUCACUUGGCAGAUUGCGUAAAACAGUUCGGAUCAUUAGAUUCUUUUUCAGCGUAUCGUUUCGAAAACUAUAUCCAGAAUAUAAAAAAAAAUUGUAAAUAAACCCAAUAAAAUUCUACAGCAAAUAUAUCUUAGACUUGAUGAAAAACAGGGUAUUGAAUCAAAUUCAGAGAAUGUGACAAAAUUUGCUUCAUUUGAAAAAAAAAUCCCAACAAGCAGAAAGAUAGUUUUUGUUUUAGUGAGUUGACAGGAGAAAUGAAGGUAUUUAAUGUCAUAAAGUCUCAACAGUCGUAUGAAAUUGUCUGCAAAGUUUUCAGAAAGACUGAAAACUACUUUAAUGAACCUGUAGGAUCGUCAAGUGGCCUAGGGAUUGUAGUCGCAAGUGAGUUAGAUGAAGAAAUGGUAACAGUUUCUAUCGAAGACAUUGAUUUCAAAUACUUUUGUAUUCCUAACGAAGAGAAAUAUUUGCCAAUACCACUUUUACACCAUCUUUUUAACACAUUUUCCCAUUAACCACUGAUUUGCGCAUUCCACUUUCAAAUUUAAUAUACAAUUUUAGUUUCACUAAUAUAACCAAAACUGUAUAUAAAUGCAAUAUAAUAAAAAACAUAAUAACAAGUAUAAAACAUCAUAAAAAAUAUACAGUAUUGUUCAAGCAACAAACUCCAAAUGCAAUAUGUUGAACGACAUUUUAACAAUACUGUAUAUUUUUAUGAUGUUAACCUAAUAUAAUUAAUAUACUCGUAAUAUAAUAUAAUAAUAAUAUAAUUAUUAUAUAUACAAAUGAGUAACAUAUUCGAGACGCAAGAUGAAGGUGAUAAGUUAAAAGGAAAAUACUCAUCGGAAUAAGUAUAAAUAUAUUAAAAAUUAUUAAUUUUUUAGUAGAGAUUCCAAUCGUUGAGAGGAAUAUCAAGAACACGACAAAACUCAGGUCAUUUUUACUUAAAGCUUCUAAUAAAAUAUACUAUAUAUUAACUUUUUAAAAUUAAGAUAUUCUUUAAAUUAUAUUAUAUUAAAAUAUUCGUUAAAAAUGAUCAUUGCGGGCCAAAAGAAUAUACAAGAAAGACUAGACAAAUUGGAGGAAAACGUAUUUAUAACUUUACAGAACCAAAAAACUCUUAGUGAAGGCCAAUCGUCACUGGUUCACAACCAAACCGCUAUAUUUGAAAAACUUAAUGAGAUGGAGUCGAAAAUUGUCGAAAAGGCUGGGGUUUUGGCGCAAAAUAAGUCGAUCAGAGAAUGCAAAGUUCUCUUAAAACGAGUGGAGCAGUCAGUGUGCCGCAUGACCGGCGAAGUGAUUGACAAAGAGCUGGACGACGUCGCUAGCACUUUUCCGAUGGAUUCGCAAGCAACAGUUGCGGAAGUGGAAGAUAGACUGCAAAGCCAAGACUAUGCUCAAACAACGACUACAUUUCUCCAUAAACUUAAGGCGCCAGUGAUAAUGUGGCAGACGUAAUACCGAAGGUUUUCUCAGAUGAGCUCUUGGAAGGAUAUAAUUGGGAUGGCAGGUGGAGCAAGAAAUCCCUAUGCAAAUUGGCGCUGGUUGAUACCAUUUUAAGAAAUGUGUUUCAACAACAAGUCUGUAGGAGUUUCGAACAAAGUAUAAAGCGGUCAAACCUGCACAGCCAUCACAGAUUAAAGCAGCGUACUUAUUUAAAAACAAACGGAAACAAUAAUUAAAUUUAAAAACUAAACAAAUUAAAACCAAAUAAUGAAGCUUUAAUCUUACAUAAUUUUUUUUUUAUUUUUGUACAAUUUUUUUAUAAUAUGAAUUAAUGAAUAUUACAUGAAUUAAAAUGAAUUUAAUUUUUUCUAAAUAAACUAAAUUACAAUAAAUUAAUAAAUGCGUAAUUUUUA